Molecule: unclassified non-coding RNA, 399 nt
Filed under: soil metagenome
Description: partial contains 5.8S ribosomal RNA, internal transcribed spacer 2, and large subunit ribosomal RNA
Rfam family: 5.8S ribosomal RNA (bases 1-121)
Source: RNAcentral
GAUGAAAACGCAGUGAAAUGCGAUACUUGGUGUGAAUUGCAGAAUCCCGUGAACCAUCGAGUCUUUGAACGCAAGUUGCGCCUCAAGUCAUUAGGUUGAGGGCACGUCUGCCUGGGCGUCACAUAUCGUUGCCUGAUGCCAGUUUCCUCGUGAUGGGUGACUGUGCAGGGCGAAUGAUGGCUUCCCGUGAGCAUUGUUGCCUCAUGGUUGGUUGAAAAUUGAGUCCUUGGUAGGGAGCGCCGUGAUAGAUGGUGGUUGAGUGACGAACGAGACCCAAUCAUGUGAGACCCCUACCGAAUUUGGCCUUCAUGACCCACAUGCGUCUUUGGAACGCUCAUGACGAGACCUCAGGUCAGGCGGGGCUACCCGCUGAGUUUAAGCAUAUCAAUAAGCGGAGGA